RNAcentral lists this transfer RNA (74 nucleotides) under Morganella morganii. Its description in RNAcentral is "tRNA-Met". It matches the Rfam family "tRNA". From Rfam's summary of the family: Transfer RNA (tRNA) molecules are approximately 80 nucleotides in length. Lineage: Bacteria; Pseudomonadati; Pseudomonadota; Gammaproteobacteria; Enterobacterales; Morganellaceae. The record is from RNAcentral.
CGCGGGAUGGAGCAGUCUAGCUCGUCGGGCUCAUAACCCGAAGGUCGUCGGUUCAAAUCCGGCUCCCGCAACCA